CGGGAAUCUUCCACAAUGGACGAAAGUCUGAUGGAGCAACGCCGCGUGAGCGAUGAAGGCCUUCGGGUCGUAAAGCUCUGUUGUUAGGGAAGAACAAGUAUCGGAGUAACUGCCGGUACCUUGACGGUACCUAACCAGAAAGCCACGGCUAACUACGUGCCAGCAGCCGCGGUAAUACGUAGGUGGCAAGCGUUGUCCGGAAUUAUUGGGCGUAAAGCGCGCGCAGGCGGUCCUUGAAGUCUGAUGUGAAAGCCCACGGCUCAACCGUGGAGGGUCAUUGGAAACUGGGGGACUUGAGUGCAGAAGAGGAAAGCGGAAUUCCACGUGUAGCGGUGAAAUGCGUAGAGAUUAGGAAGAACACCAGUGGCGAAGGCGACUCUCUGGACCGUAACUGACGCUGAGGCAUGAAAGCGUGGGGAGCAAAC
Molecule: ribosomal RNA, 425 nt
Filed under: uncultured bacterium
Lineage: Bacteria
Description: bacterial SSU rRNA
Rfam family: Bacterial small subunit ribosomal RNA
Source: RNAcentral